AUUGAACGCUGGCGGCAUGCUUUACACAUGCAAGUCGAGCGGCAGCGCGGGGGCAACCCUGGCGGCGAGCGGCGAACGGGUGAGUAAUGCAUCGGAACGUAUCCUCGAGUGGGGGAUAACCCAGCGAAAGUUGGGCUAAUACCGCAUGAGCUCUGAGGAGGAAAGCGGGGGACCUGCGAGGGCCUCGCGCUGGAGGAGCGGCCGAUGUCCGAUUUGCUAGUUGGUGGGGUAAAGGCUUACCAAGGCGACGAUCGGUAGCUGGUCUGAGAGGAUGAUCAGCCACACUGGGACUGAGACACGGCCCAGACUCCUACGGGAGGCAGCAGUGGGGAAUUUUGGACAAUGGGGGCAACCCUGAUCCAGCCAUGCCGCGUGAGUGAAGAAGGCCUUCGGGUUGUAAAGCUCUUUCGGACGGAACGAAAUGGGCGGGACUAAUACUCCUGUCUGAUGACGGUACCGUAAGAAGAAGCACCGGCUAACUACGUG
This 486-nucleotide ribosomal RNA is filed under the name uncultured bacterium. RNAcentral describes it as "partial 16S ribosomal RNA". It matches the Rfam family "Bacterial small subunit ribosomal RNA", at positions 29 to 507 of the family's 1533-position model. The record is from RNAcentral.